AACGAACGCUGGCGGCAGGCUUAACACAUGCAAGUUGAACGCCCCGCAAGGGGAGUGGCAGACGGGUGAGUAACACGUGGGAAUCUACCCAUCUCUGCGGAAUAGCUCCGGGAAACUGGAAUUAAUACCGCAUACGCCCUACGGGGGAAAGAUUUAUCGGGGAUGGAUGAGCCCGCGUUGGAUUAGCUAGUUGGUGGGGUAAAGGCCUACCAAGGCGACGAUCCAUAGCUGGUCUGAGAGGAUGAUCAGCCACAUUGGGACUGGGACACGGCCCAAACUCCUACGGGAGGCAGCAGUGGGGAAUGUUGGACAAUGGGCGCAAGCCUGAUCCAGCCAUGCCGCGUGAGUGAUGAAGGCCUUAGGGUUGUAAAGCUCUUUCACCGGUGAAGAUAAUGACGGUAACCGGAGAAGAAGCCCCGGCUAACUUCGUGCCAGCCGCCGCAGUAA
This 447-nucleotide ribosomal RNA is filed under the name uncultured bacterium. RNAcentral describes it as "partial 16S ribosomal RNA". It matches the Rfam family "Bacterial small subunit ribosomal RNA", at positions 29 to 523 of the family's 1533-position model. The record is from RNAcentral.